Molecule: long non-coding RNA, 261 nt
Organism: Dreissena polymorpha
Lineage: Eukaryota; Metazoa; Mollusca; Bivalvia; Myida; Dreissenidae
Exons: 3
Source: RefSeq, a predicted model, not a curated record
GCCAAAACAGAGGGAGAGAUGAGAAGAAGUAAACGCGUGAGACAGCCAUCUAAGAAAAUGUUGUUGUAUUUUCAGGACACAGAUUCAGAUUCAAGUCUACAGCAGGGUAAAGGAAAACGUCCUGCCAGAAAGUUGAUACAUUAGCAACAACAACUAAGGGGACACUGGAACACCAUAGCACGUCUGACGAUGAACCUGUACUGGCUUUUGUUCCUUCAAGUUCUGAUGAGUCUGAAGGAGAACCACUCAGUGAGAGAGAGG